CUCUUCACUGGGAACCUGCCUUGAACUUUUCCUUCAAACACACUUCUGUCAAGAAGGUUGACACGUUUUUUAUUAUGGAGAAUCGAGUACAUCUUCCUGAUGAUGUGACCAUCAGUAACCUCAGCUGUGUGGCGUCAUACCCCUCUGUGUCCGGCUCUCUGCAACAGAAGAGCACACUGCAUAUUACAACACAAGGAAUAAGAUUUUGUCUCAGAAUGAAGGAAGAAACACCAACCAAGAGAUGAAGAAAUACGGAGGAUAAACAGGAAGUGGGUGGCAAAAAACAGGCACGAUAAGAAAGUGAAUUGGAGGAAGGGGUUUAUCUGAGAACCGCUGACAUUGCAUUUGAGCAUCUGAAAAAGUACAGCAAAAGCAGCAAAGAGGGCAUUAAAAAAUGUAAUUUAUGGUCUUAGUUUUAUGUUUAUUUUUGUCUUGAAUGAAGAUGCAAUUAAAUUU
Rhinichthys klamathensis goyatoka is the source of this 456-nucleotide long non-coding RNA. RefSeq lists it as uncharacterized. NCBI's taxonomy places the organism in Eukaryota, Metazoa, Chordata, Actinopteri, Cypriniformes, Leuciscidae. The transcript is spliced from 2 exons. The record is from RefSeq and is a predicted model, not a curated record.